This 434-nucleotide ribosomal RNA is filed under the name uncultured bacterium. RNAcentral's name for it is "partial 16S ribosomal RNA". It matches the Rfam family "Bacterial small subunit ribosomal RNA", at positions 29 to 506 of the family's 1533-position model. The record is from RNAcentral.
AGCGAACGCUGGCGGCAGGCUUAACACAUGCAAGUCGAACGGGCAUCUUCGGAUGUCAGUGGCAGACGGGUGAGUAACACGUGGGAACGUACCCUUCGGUUCGGAAUAACUCAGGGAAACUUGAGCUAAUACCGGAUACGCCCUUUUGGGGAAAGGUUUACUGCCGAAGGAUCGGCCCGCGUCUGAUUAGCUUGUUGGUGGGGUAACGGCCUACCAAGGCGACGAUCAGUAGCUGGUCUGAGAGGAUGAUCAGCCACACUGGGACUGAGACACGGCCCAGCCCCCCACGGGAGGCAGCAGGGGGGAAAAUUGGACAAGGGGCGCAAGCCUGACCCAUCCAUGCCCGGGGAGGGAAGAAGGCCUUAGGGUUGAAAAGCCCUUUUGUCCGGGAAGAUAAUGACGGGCCCGGAAGAAUAAGCCCCGGCAAACUUCGU